CAGCCGCCACGGUAAUACGAAGGGGGCUAGCGUUGUUCGGAAUUACUGGGCGUAAAGCGCACGUAGGCGGAUUGUUAAGUUAGGGGUGAAAUCCCAGGGCUCAACCCUGGAACUGCCUUUAAUACUGGCAAUCUCGAGUCCGAGAGAGGUGAGUGGAAUUCCGAGUGUAGAGGUGAAAUUCGUAGAUAUUCGGAGGAACACCAGUGGCGAAGGCGGCUCACUGGCUCGGUACUGACGCUGAGGUGCGAAAGCGUGGGGAGCAAACAGGAUUAGAUACCCGAGUAGUCCCUGUCUCUUAUAC
This 301-nucleotide ribosomal RNA is filed under the name uncultured bacterium. RNAcentral describes it as "partial 16S ribosomal RNA". It matches the Rfam family "Bacterial small subunit ribosomal RNA", at positions 509 to 807 of the family's 1533-position model. The record is from RNAcentral.